UCCGUAGGCGGGCGUCUAAGUUAGUGGUGAAAUCUUACAGCUCAACUGUAAAAUUGCCAUUGAUACUGGAUGUCUUGAAUUAGUGUGAAGUGGUUAGAAUGUGUAGUGUAGCGGUGAAAUGCAUAGAUAUUACACAGAAUACCAAUUGCGAAGGCAGAUCACUAACACUAUAUUGACGCUGAGGGACGAAAGCGUGGGGAGCGAACAGGAUUAGAUACCCUGGUAGUCC
Molecule: ribosomal RNA, 229 nt
Filed under: uncultured bacterium
Lineage: Bacteria
Description: partial 16S ribosomal RNA
Rfam family: Bacterial small subunit ribosomal RNA
Source: RNAcentral